RNAcentral lists this ribosomal RNA (261 nucleotides) under uncultured bacterium. RNAcentral describes it as "partial small subunit ribosomal RNA". It matches the Rfam family "Bacterial small subunit ribosomal RNA", at positions 26 to 285 of the family's 1533-position model. The record is from RNAcentral.
AGAAUCAACGCUGGCGGCGUGCCUAACACAUGCAAGUCGAACGAGAAAGUGGAGCAAUCCAUGAGUAAAGUGGCGACCGGGUGAGUAACACGUGACUAACCUACCUUCGAGUGGGGGAUAACCUCGGGAAACCGGGGCUAAUACCGCAUAACAUCCUUGGAGUGGAAACUCUGGGGAUCAAAGGAGCAAUUCGCUGGAAGAGGGGGUCGCGGCUGAUUAGCUAGUUGGCGGGGUAAUGGCCCACCAAGGCUUUGAUCGGUA